RNAcentral lists this ribosomal RNA (982 nucleotides) under uncultured bacterium. RNAcentral describes it as "bacterial SSU rRNA". It matches the Rfam family "Bacterial small subunit ribosomal RNA", at positions 521 to 1502 of the family's 1533-position model. The record is from RNAcentral.
UAAUACGGAGGGUGCGAGCGUUAAUCGGAAUUACUGGGCGUAAAGCGCAUGCAGGUGGUUUGUUAAGUCAGAUGUGAAAGCCCGGGGCUCAACCUCGGAAUUGCAUUUGAAACUGGCAGACUAGAGUACUGUAGAGGGGGGUAGAAUUUCAGGUGUAGCGGUGAAAUGCGUAGAGAUCUGAAGGAAUACCGGUGGCGAAGGCGGCCCCCUGGACAGAUACUGACACUCAGAUGCGAAAGCGUGGGGAGCAAACAGGAUUAGAUACCCUGGUAGUCCACGCCGUAAACGAUGUCUACUUGGAGGUUGUGGCCUUGAGCCGUGGCUUUCGGAGCUAACGCGUUAAGUAGACCGCCUGGGGAGUACGGUCGCAAGAUUAAAACUCAAAUGAAUUGACGGGGGCCCGCACAAGCGGUGGAGCAUGUGGUUUAAUUCGAUGCAACGCGAAGAACCUUACCUACUCUUGACAUCCAGAGAACUUUCCAGAGAUGGAUUGGUGCCUUCGGGAACUCUGAGACAGGUGCUGCAUGGCUGUCGUCAGCUCGUGUUGUGAAAUGUUGGGUUAAGUCCCGCAACGAGCGCAACCCUUAUCCUUGUUUGCCAGCGAGUAAUGUCGGGAGCUCCAGGGAGACUGCCGGUGAUAAACCGGAGGAAGGUGGGGACGACGUCAAGUCAUCAUGGCCCUUACGAGUAGGGCUACACACGUGCUACAAUGGCGCAUACAGAGGGCAGCCAACUUGCGAGAGUGAGCGAAUCCCAAAAAGUGCGUCGUAGUCCGGAUCGGAGUCUGCAACUCGACUCCGUGAAGUCGGAAUCGCUAGUAAUCGUGGAUCAGAAUGCCACGGUGAAUACGUUCCCGGGCCUUGUACACACCGCCCGUCACACCAUGGGAGUGGGCUGCAAAAGAAGUAGGUAGUUUAACCUUAGGGAGGACGCUUACCACUUUGUGGUUCAUGACUGGGGUGAAGUCGUAACAAGGUAGCCG